GCCGGCGUAGUCCAACGGCAGGAGACAACUCCCUUAAGAGGAGUCCAGUGCGGGUUCGAAUCCCGCCGCCGGCA
RNAcentral lists this transfer RNA (74 nucleotides) under Chloroflexota bacterium. Its description in RNAcentral is "Chloroflexi bacterium tRNA-Leu". It matches the Rfam family "tRNA". From Rfam's summary of the family: Transfer RNA (tRNA) molecules are approximately 80 nucleotides in length. The record is from RNAcentral. Lineage: Bacteria; Bacillati; Chloroflexota.